Molecule: unclassified non-coding RNA, 375 nt
Filed under: soil metagenome
Description: partial contains 5.8S ribosomal RNA, internal transcribed spacer 2, and large subunit ribosomal RNA
Rfam family: 5.8S ribosomal RNA (bases 1-120)
Source: RNAcentral
GAUGAAGAACGCAGCGAAAUGCGAUAAGUAAUGUGAAUUGCAGAAUUCAGUGAAUCAUCGAAUCUUUGAACGCACAUUGCGCCCGCCAGUAUUCUGGCGGGCAUGCCUGUUCGAGCGUCAUUUCAACCCUCAAGCCCCAGCGGUUUGGUGUUGGGGACCGGCGAGUACAGAGGCUUUGGGGACUUGUCCCCCUUCCCUCGGCGCCGCCCCCGAAAUGAAUUGGCGGUCUCGUCGCGGCCUCCUCUGCGUAGUAGCACAACCUCGCAUCAGGAGCGCGGCGCGGCUACUGCCGUAAAACGCCCAACUUUUUUUAAGAGUUGACCUCGAAUCAGGUAGGAAUACCCGCUGAACUUAAGCAUAUCAAUAAGCGGAGGA